GUGAAUCAUCGAAUCUUUGAACGCAACUUGCGCCUUCUUUCGGGAGGCAUGUCUGUUUGAGUUCACCAUUUAACAAAUAAUGUGCGGGUCGCUCUGCGGCGUGCACACGUUGAUGAGCUUUUCCGCAAAACCAGGUUUUUUUGGUGGCGCAUAAUGAACAGCGUGGGCUUUUUCUUUCGAUUCUCGUGUAGUAAGUAAAUUUUCAACUCUUGGGUUGAGAGAAAGUUCUUUCCUCGCA
This 238-nucleotide unclassified non-coding RNA is filed under the name Paraglomerales sp. RNAcentral describes it as "partial contains 5.8S ribosomal RNA and internal transcribed spacer 2". The stretch from base 1 to 66 matches the Rfam family "5.8S ribosomal RNA", at positions 84 to 154 of the family's 154-position model. Lineage: Eukaryota; Fungi; Glomeromycota; Glomeromycetes; Paraglomerales. The record is from RNAcentral.